RNAcentral lists this ribosomal RNA (279 nucleotides) under uncultured bacterium. Its description in RNAcentral is "partial 16S ribosomal RNA". It matches the Rfam family "Bacterial small subunit ribosomal RNA", at positions 506 to 784 of the family's 1533-position model. The record is from RNAcentral.
UGCCAGCCGCCGCGGUAACACGGGGGGCGCAAGCGUUAUUCGGAAUUAUUGGGCGUAAAGGGCGCGCAGGCGGUCUUGUCCGUCAGGUGUGAAAGCUCGGGGCUCAACCCCGGAAGUGCACUUGAAACGGCAAGACUUGAGUACGGGAGAGGAGAGAGGAAUUCCUGGUGUAGAGGUGAAAUUCGUAGAUAUCAGGAGGAACACCGAUGGCGAAGGCAUCUCUCUGGACCGAUACUGACGCUGAGGUACGAAAGCGUGGGUAGCAAACAGGAUUAGAUA